Molecule: long non-coding RNA, 238 nt
Filed under: Xyrichtys novacula (pearly razorfish)
Lineage: Eukaryota; Metazoa; Chordata; Actinopteri; Labriformes; Labridae
Source: RNAcentral
GGUUUGGGACUGGGGAAAGGUUUAAGGUUUUUGGCGUUAGGGUUAAAAUCACUGUCCAAAACCUUUGUAGGAACUCUUUUCCAACCUUUUGGAGUUAGUUAGACCAAAAAAAAAAAGAAAAAUGAAAAAAAAAUAUUUGGGGUGUUCAGGCUUCCUAAAAGUAAUACCUGGGUAUUAGGUUAUAGGGCUAUGGUAAGGUUUAAGGUUUUUGGCGUUAGGGUUAAAAUCACUGUCCAAA